RNAcentral lists this ribosomal RNA (373 nucleotides) under uncultured organism. RNAcentral's name for it is "partial 16S ribosomal RNA". It matches the Rfam family "Bacterial small subunit ribosomal RNA", at positions 527 to 896 of the family's 1533-position model. The record is from RNAcentral.
GUCGGUGGCAAGCGUUGUCCGGAAUUAUUGGGCGUAAAGCGCGCGCAGGCGGUUCUUUAAGUCUGAUGUGAAAGCCCACGGCUCAACCGUGGAGGGUCAUUGGAAACUGGAGAACUUGAGUACAGAAGAGGAAAGCGGAAUUCCACGUGUAGCGGUGAAAUGCGUAGAGAUGUGGAGGAACACCAGUGGCGAAGGCGGCUUUCUGGUCUGUAACUGACGCUGAGGCGCGAAAGCGUGGGGAGCAAACAGGGAUUAGAUACCCUGGUAGUCCACGCCGUAAACGAUGAGUGCUAAGUGUUAGGGGGUUUCCCGCCCCUUAGUGCUGCAGCUAACGCAUUAAGCACUCCGCCUGGGGAGUACGGCCGCAAGGCUG